Molecule: ribosomal RNA, 225 nt
Filed under: uncultured bacterium
Lineage: Bacteria
Description: partial 16S ribosomal RNA
Rfam family: Bacterial small subunit ribosomal RNA
Source: RNAcentral
UACGAAGGGAGCUAGCGUUGUUCGGAAUCACUGGGCGUAAAGCGCACGUAGGCGGAUGUGUCAGUCAGGGGUGAAAUCCCGGAGCUCAACUUCGGAACUGCCUUUGAUACAGCACGUCUUGAGUCCGAUAGAGGUGGGUGGAAUUCCUAGUGGUAGAGGUGAAAUUCGUAGAUAUUAGGAAGAACACCGGAUGGCGAAGGCGGCCCACUGGAUCGGUACUGACGC